AUGAGCGCGAAGGAUGAUGCACCUGAUGGCAGGAGCAGCCCCCUCCGCCGGCUCCUCGGCUGCUUCGCCCAGCGCCUUGCUUACCCGUGCAUACUAGUAUGCCAUGCAGAGGGAUGGAGAGAAUCUGUUGCUGGUGGAGACGAAAACGUUAUUGAAAAUGCUCAACCGCUACAUACAGGAACAGGUCAAGACAAACAAACAGGGUCAACUUACUCAGUGAGGUCCUACCUAUUCAGUUUCCUUUUGAGGAGAAUUUUCAGGGACGGAACUAGAGUUUCAUCUUUUCAUGUGUGAAAGGUAUGUGUAUCUACCAUCAAAGGCACAUUGAAAGUGGUCCAAGACAAAAAGCUCAUUGCGCAACAACUGAACUAUCAACCGUAGCCUACCUAAAAGCCUGAAAUCUCUAGCCUGCUUCAAGGCAACAUAUAACUCAAGCAACAAAGACUGGAGGUGCAGAGGUGUCUAUUCUUGCAGGCAUAACUUUGAGCAAAAGAGCUUAUUGCAUAAUCACAGCCUUUAUAAAAAGGCAGAUAUAAGUGUAGAAAGAAUGAAGGCAAUGGGACUGAGGGUUAAGGCACUGGCGAUGUAACACAGUGAUACCCCACAGCUGGCUAAGGAACAUAAUUUAAAAAGAGGAAAUGCAUCACCAAAGCAGAUGGCCCAGAUUUGCAUAUAAUCUACAUAUGGUAAUUAGUAUGUACGCAUGUAAAUUUAUAAGUAAUUACUGUACUUUCAAGGGAAAUGUGAUACAUCUCAUCAUGACUGUGACCUGUUUUGUUGUCCAAUCUGCUAUAUAGGUGCUAACCAUCGAUGCAUCUUUAUGUCUCUGCUUCCCACUUCUUAAAGGUUUAUCCUUAAACGAAACUUGACGGAUUGAAAUCUUAUAUGUGAUUGAAGUCACGUGUAGUAGACAGCCCUUCUUUUAACCAGCUAAAGAUUUUGUAUUUUUCCAAGGUUCCAGAAGGGGCGUUCUUCAGCCUAUUUUAAAACUGAUUUAUUGUGGCUUGGCUUGAAGUUGCUUGUGAUGAGGGGCAAGCAGAAAUUCUCUAAAUGUAUAAAUAUCCAAAUGUAUGGUACAGCAUGAAGUACCCACUUGUGCUGCUUAAAAACAAGAGUGUCUUACCGAAAAUUAAAGCUACAACGAAUGCUUGUUUUUAAGUGAUCAACCAUUACUUUUGGUAUUACAAGCAUGUGUAUAUAGAUCCCUUAUAGCUUACUGUCAUGUAAUGCUUUAUAAAUGAUACUUAAUAAACAAC
Molecule: long non-coding RNA, 1256 nt
Filed under: Podarcis muralis (Common wall lizard)
Lineage: Eukaryota; Metazoa; Chordata; Lepidosauria; Squamata; Lacertidae
Description: lncRNA (ENSPMRG00000021065.1)
Source: RNAcentral